AAUAUUGCACAAUGGAGGGAACGCUGAUGCAGCAACGCCUCGUGAGUGAAGAAUGUAUUCUGUUCGUAAAAAUCUGUCAUUGCGGAAGAAUAAAUGACGGUACCCAAUGACGAAUCCCCUGCUCACUACGUUCCAGAAGCUGCGGUAAUACGUAGGGGGCGAGCGUUGGCCGGAAUUACUGGGCGUAAAGGGUACGUAGGCGGCUAUAUAAGUCAGGUGUGAAAUACCAGUGCUUAACACUGGAAUUGCAUUUGAAACUGUGUAGCUUGAGUGCAGGAGAGGAAAGUGGAAUUCCUAGUGUAGCGGUGAAAUGCGUAGAGAUUAGGAGGAACACCAGUGGCGAAGGCGACUUUCUGAACAUAUACUGACGCUGAGGAACGAAAGCGUGGGGAGCAAACA
RNAcentral lists this ribosomal RNA (399 nucleotides) under uncultured bacterium. RNAcentral describes it as "partial 16S ribosomal RNA". It matches the Rfam family "Bacterial small subunit ribosomal RNA", at positions 360 to 774 of the family's 1533-position model. The record is from RNAcentral.